Molecule: non-coding RNA, 493 nt
Organism: Callithrix jacchus (white-tufted-ear marmoset)
Lineage: Eukaryota; Metazoa; Chordata; Mammalia; Primates; Cebidae
Source: the annotation of a RefSeq genome assembly
UUUGAGGGAAGCUCUGCUUCAGCUGUGGGCACAGAAGGCAAGACUCGGGACAAUCUUCAUAAUGACUUGGUCCCAUCUCCUCCUCACCCUUCUCCUUCACUGCACAGGGUCCUGGGCCCAGUCUGUGCUGACUCAGCCGCCCUCAGCUUCUGGGAACCCUGGGCAGAAGGUCACCAUCUCCUGUUCUGGAAGGAGCUCCAACAUUGGAAGUAAUUAUGUAUCCUGGUACCAGCAGCUCCCAGGAACAGCUCCCAAACUCCUCAUCUAUGGUAACAGCAAUCGGCCCUCAGGGGUCCCUGACCGAUUCUCUGGCUCCAAGUCUGGCACCUCAGCCACCCUGGGCAUCACUGGUCUCCGGCUUGAGGACGAGGCCGAUUAUUACUGCUUAGCAUGGGAUGACAGCCUGAAAGCUCGCACAGUGCUCCAGGCCAAUGGGAAACUGAGACAAGAACCCCUUCCUCCUCUGCCAGGAAGGUGAGUCCCUGGCAGCUGC